Molecule: long non-coding RNA, 562 nt
Filed under: Coturnix japonica (Japanese quail)
Lineage: Eukaryota; Metazoa; Chordata; Aves; Galliformes; Phasianidae
Description: lncRNA (ENSCJPG00005008223.1)
Source: RNAcentral
GUAGAGCACUCCUGACUCCAGCCUUGGCAUCACUGAGGCUAUAGAGCUGGUAACAUGCUGGGAACAGGGAUUCCUCAUAGACCUUCCAGAAGAGUACAUCUCUGAUCUGCUUCGUGGACUCUACAUGCUGUCUGUGUUCAGAGAUUCUCCAGAUCAUUACACAGGUUAGCUCUCCCCCUGCUCACCCACCAGUCAUAGGAUUCAAACAACGAGCUUCAAAUUAUGCUGAGAAUAAAUGGUGGUAAACAGCAAACCCAAGGAGACAAAUAAGACGAACACCUUGAAGAGGAACCAGGAGGAAGUUCUGUAGCCAGCAUCCAGCUUCUCCAAAAGUUGUCUCCUUCUCUCAGGAGCAUCUCUUGCCUGUUUGCAGGUAGAUUCACCAUUUGGAGGAACACUGCUGUCAUGGAAGGUCAUGGCUGGAGAAGGGGAAGGGGAUCUCACAGGAAAUGAGACAGUCAAAGAAUUUCAGCUUUUAAUUUUAACAGAGCAGUUGAAGAGUAGUUUACAUCGUGAGUAUUCUUAGACUUUGUCUUUAUCUUGCCCCAUCUUUCUAAUAAAU